RNAcentral lists this small RNA (483 nucleotides) under Arabidopsis thaliana (thale cress). RNAcentral's name for it is "ATSL068170". Lineage: Eukaryota; Viridiplantae; Streptophyta; Magnoliopsida; Brassicales; Brassicaceae. The record is from RNAcentral.
UUUUAUGUUCUCAUGUAUACCGCUUCCUCAGUUGCUUACGCUCAUGUUCGUUCGCUUGUAACGGCGGGAGAAAUCCAAUGUUGCAUUUUGAGUUAUCCGAAUACAGAUUUUUUGUAUUUGUAAAAUAUUCAUGAGCUUAUUGAGAGGGCCAUUAAGGAGCUUACUUUGGGCUAAUUAGAUGAAUUAAACAAAGUGGUAAUUCACAACUAAAAAAACUUAUCAACUAAAAUAUAAAGUCGUUGGGAUUCUGCUCCAUCAUUAUGACAUGACGUUAUCGUAGUGAUUGCAUAUCUCUUUCAUGUAAUAACCCAAGUGCCUUGAGCAGUUUGGUAAUUUGGGGUAAAGGUGAUUUGUUUAGGCCUUUAUACAUGUGAGAUCUUUCCUCAAAGAGCAAGUCCCAUAUGUUUCUUGUUCCAAUACAGACAGUGAUCUUCGCGCUAAUGUUUUUUAUCAACUCACCUUCAAAAGUUAUCAACACGCAUU